UUGGGAAGAAUGGAUUUACGGACUACGUCUAAUAUAGUUCUGGAUAUAAGACUGAUUAAUGACAAUUUUAUAUCAAAAGUCUUGACCAAAUUACGUGCCAGCAGUCGCGGUAAUACGUAGAAGACAAGUGUUAGUCAUCUUUAAUAGGUUUAAAGGGUACCUAGACGGCAUUAUUAACCCGAAACGGAAAUAGUUUUGCUAGAGUUUUAUAUGAGAAGGGGAGUAUUUAGGGAGUAGAGAUGAAAUUCUUUGAUACCUUAAGGACUGGUUAGGGCGAAAGCGGCCUUUUAUGUAAAAACUGACGUUGAGGGACGGAGGCUUAGAUAGCGAACAGGAUUAGAUACCCUAGUAGUCUUUGCAGAGAAUGAUGAAUGCCAUAGAUUAGAUUUUGUUUGGUUUAUAAAUGAAAGUGUAAGCAUUCCACCUCAUGAGUAAUGUGGCAACGCAGGAACUGAAAUCAUUAGACCGUUUCUGAGAACAGUAGUGAAGUAUGUUAUUUAAUUCGAUGGCCCUCGAAAAACCUUACCACAACUUGAAUAUAAGCUAUGCAACCCUCCUAGAGUAGCCUUGAUUAGGCGUGAUCUCUAGGAACUAACUGAUUUAGUGUGAGUAUGUAUUGGAAUCUUUAAAGUUUCCAUUACAGACUACGUAGAGGAAAUCUAGACGGAUUGCGUAGAUUUCAUAGGAAUAGUAUUGCAUUUUCUUCGAUCUUCGAAGACGAUAUAGUAUUAGACCUAUACGGUGUUAAAACAAGUGUUGCACGGUUGUCUUCAGCUAAUGUCGUGAGACUGUGGUUAGCUCCAUUAAAUUAGCGGAAACCCCGGCUUUAUUUUUUAAUUUUUUAUCAUAAAGCAGUUCAUCAUUAUAUAGAAUAAUCGUGAUAA
Molecule: ribosomal RNA, 884 nt
Filed under: Terriera minor
Lineage: Eukaryota; Fungi; Ascomycota; Leotiomycetes; Rhytismatales; Rhytismataceae
Description: mitochondrial SSU rRNA
Rfam family: Bacterial small subunit ribosomal RNA
Source: RNAcentral